CGGGUGAGUAACGCGUGGGUAACCUGCCUUGUACAGGGGGAUAACAGUUGGAAACGGCUGCUAAUACCGCAUAAGCGCACGGCAUCGCAUGAUGCAGUGUGAAAAACUCCGGUGGUAUAAGAUGGACCCGCGUUGGAUUAGCUAGUUGGUGAGAUAACGGCCCACCAAGGCGACGAUCCAUAGCCGACCUGAGAGGGUGACCGGCCACAUUGGGACUGAGACACGGCCCAA
RNAcentral lists this ribosomal RNA (231 nucleotides) under uncultured bacterium. RNAcentral's name for it is "partial 16S ribosomal RNA". It matches the Rfam family "Bacterial small subunit ribosomal RNA", at positions 103 to 334 of the family's 1533-position model. The record is from RNAcentral.